RNAcentral lists this ribosomal RNA (465 nucleotides) under Vreelandella stevensii. RNAcentral's name for it is "partial 16S ribosomal RNA". It matches the Rfam family "Bacterial small subunit ribosomal RNA", at positions 338 to 795 of the family's 1533-position model. The record is from RNAcentral. Lineage: Bacteria; Pseudomonadati; Pseudomonadota; Gammaproteobacteria; Oceanospirillales; Halomonadaceae.
CCUACGGGUGGCAGCAGUGGGGAAUAUUGGACAAUGGGGGGAACCCUGAUCCAGCCAUGCCGCGUGUGUGAAGAAGGCCCUCGGGUUGUAAAGCACUUUCAGUGAGGAAGAACGCCUGGUGGUUAAUACCCAUCAGGAAAGACAUCACUCACAGAAGAAGCACCGGCUAACUCCGUGCCAGCAGCCGCGGUAAUACGGAGGGUGCGAGCGUUAAUCGGAAUUACUGGGCGUAAAGCGCGCGUAGGUGGCUUGAUAAGUCGGUUGUGAAAGCCCCGGGCUCAACCUGGGAACGGCAUCCGGAACUGUCAAGCUAGAGUGCAGGAGAGGAAGGUAGAAUUCCCGGUGUAGCGGUGAAAUGCGUAGAGAUCGGGAGGAAUACCAGUGGCGAAGGCGGCCUUCUGGACUGACACUGACACUGAGGUGCGAAAGCGUGGGUAGCAAACAGGAUUAGAUACCCCAGUAGUC